UACGUAGGGGGCAAGCGUUGUCCGGAAUUAUUGGGCGUAAAGAGCGUGUAGGCGGUCCGGUAAGUCAGCUGUGAAAGUCAAGGGCUCAACCCUUGAAAGCCGGUUGAUACUGUCGGGCUAGAGUCCGGAAGAGGCGAGUGGAAUUCCCGGUGUAGCGGUGAAAUGCGCAGAUAUCGGGAGGAACACCUAUGGCGAAGGCAGCUCUCUGGGACGGUACUGACGCUGAGACGCGAAAGCGUGGGGAGCGAACAGG
This 253-nucleotide ribosomal RNA is filed under the name uncultured bacterium. RNAcentral's name for it is "partial 16S ribosomal RNA". It matches the Rfam family "Bacterial small subunit ribosomal RNA", at positions 524 to 776 of the family's 1533-position model. The record is from RNAcentral.